Molecule: ribosomal RNA, 253 nt
Filed under: uncultured bacterium
Lineage: Bacteria
Description: partial 16S ribosomal RNA
Rfam family: Bacterial small subunit ribosomal RNA
Source: RNAcentral
UACAGAGGUCUCAAGCGUUGUUCGGAUUCAUUGGGCGUAAAGGGUGCGUAGGCGGAUUGUCAAGUCGGGGGUGAAAUCCUGGAGCUCAACUCCAGAACUGCCUUCGAUACUGGCGAUCUCGAGUUCGGGAGAGGUGAGUGGAACUGCGAGUGUAGAGGUGAAAUUCGUAGAUAUUCGCAAGAACACCAGUGGCGAAGGCGGCUCACUGGCCCGAUACUGACGCUGAGGUGCGAAAGCGUGGGGAGCAAACAGG